This 503-nucleotide ribosomal RNA is filed under the name uncultured bacterium. Its description in RNAcentral is "partial 16S ribosomal RNA". It matches the Rfam family "Bacterial small subunit ribosomal RNA", at positions 30 to 523 of the family's 1533-position model. The record is from RNAcentral.
AUUGAACGCUGGCGGCAGGCUUAACACAUGCAAGUCGAGCGGGGUGAUGGUGCUUGCACUAUCACUUAGCGGCGGACGGGUGAGUAAUGCUUAGGAAUCUGCCUAUUAGUGGGGGACAACAUCUCGAAAGGGAUGCUAACACCGCAUACGUCCUACGGGAGAAAGCAGGGGAUCACUUGUGACCUUGCGCUAAUAGAUGAGCCUAAGUCGGAUUAGCUAGUUGGUGGGGUAAGGGCCUACCAAGACGACGAUCUGUAGCGGGUCUGAGAGGAUGAUCCGCCACACUGGGACUGAGACACGGCCCAGACUCCUACGGGAGGCAGCAGUGGGGAAUAUUGGACAAUGGGGGGAACCCUGAUCCAGCCAUGCCGCGUGUGUGAAGAAGGCCUUAUGGUUGUAAAGCACUUUAAGCGAGGAGGAGGCUCUUUUGGUUAAUACCCAAGAUGAGUGGACGUUACUCGCAGAAUAAGCACCGGCUAACUCUGUGCCAGCAGCCGCGGUAA